AGUAGAGACAGGGUUUCACCAUGUUGGCCA
RNAcentral lists this non-coding RNA (30 nucleotides) under Homo sapiens (human). The record is from RNAcentral. Lineage: Eukaryota; Metazoa; Chordata; Mammalia; Primates; Hominidae.